GAUGAACGCUAGCUACAGGCUUAACACAUGCAAGUCGAGGGGUAGCAGGGUAGCAAUACCGCUGACGACCGGCGCACGGGUGAGUAACACGUAUCCAACCUUCCCAUAACUCGGGGAUAGCCUUUCGAAAGAAAGAUUAAUACCCGAUAGUACUUUUUCAAGGCAUCUUGAGAAAGUUAAAGAUUUAUUGGUUAUGGAUGGGGAUGCGUUCCAUUAGAUAGUUGGUGAGGUAACGGCUCACCAAGUCUUCGAUGGAUAGGGGUUCUGAGAGGAAGGUCCACCACAUUGGUACUGAGACACGGACCAAACUCCUACGGGAGGCGGCAGUGAGGAAUAUUGGUCAAUUGGCGAGAGCCUGAACCAGCCAAGUAGCGUGAAGGAUGAAGGUCCUAUGGAUUGUAAACUUCUUUUAUAGUAGAAUAAAGUGACCUACGUGUAGGUUUUUGUAUGUAUACUAUGAAUAAGGAUCGGCUAACUCCGUGCCAGCCGCCGCGGUAA
RNAcentral lists this ribosomal RNA (498 nucleotides) under uncultured bacterium. RNAcentral describes it as "partial 16S ribosomal RNA". It matches the Rfam family "Bacterial small subunit ribosomal RNA", at positions 28 to 523 of the family's 1533-position model. The record is from RNAcentral.